This 465-nucleotide ribosomal RNA is filed under the name uncultured bacterium. RNAcentral's name for it is "partial 16S ribosomal RNA". It matches the Rfam family "Bacterial small subunit ribosomal RNA", at positions 338 to 795 of the family's 1533-position model. The record is from RNAcentral.
CCUACGGGUGGCAGCAGUGGGGAAUAUUGCGCAAUGGGCGAAAGCCUGACGCAGCGACGCCGCGUGAGGGAUGAAGGUCUUCGGAUUGUAAACCUCUGUCAGCAGGGAAGAACGGUCACUGUGCUAAUCAGCAGUGAAUUGACGGUACCUGCAAAGGAAGAACCGGCUAACUCCGUGCCAGCAGCCGCGGUAAUACGGAGGGUGCGAGCGUUAAUCGGAAUUACUGGGAGUAAAGCGCUCGUAGGCGGUAUGUCAAGUAAAGGGGGAAAUCCCCGCGCUCAACCUGGGAACUGCCGUUGAAACUGGCAAACUGGAGUGUGGGAGAGGAUAGUGGAAUGCCAGGUGUAGGGGUGAAAUCCGUAGAUAUCGGGAGGAACAUCAGUGGCGAAGGCGACUAUCUGGCACAUAACUGACGCUGAGGAGCGAAAGCGUGGGUAGCAAACAGGAUUAGAUACCCCAGUAGUC